This 492-nucleotide ribosomal RNA is filed under the name uncultured bacterium. Its description in RNAcentral is "partial 16S ribosomal RNA". It matches the Rfam family "Bacterial small subunit ribosomal RNA", at positions 29 to 507 of the family's 1533-position model. The record is from RNAcentral.
AGUGAACGCUGGCGGUAGGCCUAACACAUGCAAGUCGAACGGCAGCACAGUGAGAGCUUGCUCUUACGGGUGGCGAGUGGCGGACGGGUGAGGAAUACAUCGGAAUCUACUUUUUCGUGGGGGAUAACGUAGGGAAACUUACGCUAAUACCGCAUACGACCUACGGGUGAAAGCAGGGGAUCUUCGGACCUUGCGCGAUUGAAUGAGCCGAUGUCGGAUUAGCUAGUUGGCGGGGUAAAGGCCCACCAAGGCGACGAUCCGUAGCUGGUCUGAGAGGAUGAUCGGCAACACUGGAACUGAGACACGGUCAAGACUCCUACGGGAGGCAGAAGUGGGGAAUAUUGGACAAUGGGCGCAAGCCUGAUCCAGCCAUACCGCGUGGGUGAAGAAGGUCUUCGGGUUGUAAAGCCCUUUUGUUGGGAAAGAAAAGCAGCAGGUUAAUAACCCGCUGUUCUGACGGUACCCAAAGAAUAAGCACCGGCUAACUUCGUG